Molecule: small nucleolar RNA, 118 nt
Filed under: Sorex araneus (European shrew)
Lineage: Eukaryota; Metazoa; Chordata; Mammalia; Eulipotyphla; Soricidae
Description: Small nucleolar RNA SNORA51 (ENSSARG00000019852.1)
Source: RNAcentral
GGCCUCCUGGUGCUUCCCGCAGACUGUUGUUUACACCAACUUUGUAGAAGGAGGAGACUCCUUAAACCCACCUCACGUAUACCUGGGCCUGGUUUGUGUUAUGAACUGAGGGAUAUGA